Molecule: unclassified non-coding RNA, 336 nt
Filed under: soil metagenome
Description: partial contains 5.8S ribosomal RNA, internal transcribed spacer 2, and large subunit ribosomal RNA
Rfam family: 5.8S ribosomal RNA (bases 1-120)
Source: RNAcentral
GAUGAAGAACGUAGCGAAAUGCGAUAAGUAGUGUGAAUUGCAGAAUUCAGUGAAUCAUCGAAUCUUUGAACGCACAUUGCGCCCCUUGGUAUUCCAUGGGGCAUGCCUGUUCGAGCGUCAUUUGUACCUUCAAGCUUUGCUUGGUGUUGGGUGUUUGUCUCGCCUUUGCGUGUAGACUCGCCUUAAAAUAAUUGGCAGCCGGCGUAUUGAUUUCGGAGCGCAGUACAUCUCGCGCUUUGCACUCAUAACGACAGCGUCCAAAAGUACAUUUUACACUCUUGAACUCGGAUCAGGUAGGGAUACCCGCUGAACUUAAGCAUAUCAAUAAGCGGAGGA